This 102-nucleotide small nuclear RNA is filed under the name Mus pahari (shrew mouse). Lineage: Eukaryota; Metazoa; Chordata; Mammalia; Rodentia; Muridae. The record is from RNAcentral.
AUGCUUGCUUCAGCAGCACAUAUACUAAAAUUGGAAUGCUACAGAGAAGAUUAGCACAGCUCCUUCACAGGAAUAAGACUUCAUGAAGCAGUCCACUUGUUU